CGGUGGACGGGUGAGUAAUGCCUAGGAAUCUGCCUGGUAGUGGGGGACGAACGUUUCGAAAGGAACGCUAAUACCGCAUACGUCCUACGGGAGAAAGCAGGGACCUUCGGGCCUUGCGCUAUCAGAUGAGCCUAGGUCGGAUUAGCUAGUUGGUGGGGUAAUGGCUCACCAAGGCGACGAUCCGUAACUGGUCUGAGAGGAUGAUCAGUCACACUGGAACUGAGACACGGUCCAGACUCCUACGGGAGGCAGCAGAC
Molecule: ribosomal RNA, 257 nt
Filed under: uncultured Pseudomonas sp.
Lineage: Bacteria; Pseudomonadati; Pseudomonadota; Gammaproteobacteria; Pseudomonadales; Pseudomonadaceae
Description: partial 16S ribosomal RNA
Rfam family: Bacterial small subunit ribosomal RNA
Source: RNAcentral